This 497-nucleotide ribosomal RNA is filed under the name uncultured bacterium. Its description in RNAcentral is "partial 16S ribosomal RNA". It matches the Rfam family "Bacterial small subunit ribosomal RNA", at positions 28 to 507 of the family's 1533-position model. The record is from RNAcentral.
GACGAACGCUGGCGGCGUGCCUAAUACAUGCAAGUUGAGCGAUGAAGCUUGGUGCUUGCCCCAAUUUGAAGAGCAGCGAACGGGUGAGUAACGCGUGGGGAAUCUGCCUUUGAGCGGGGGACAACAUUUGGAAACGAAUGCUAAUACCGCAUAACAACUUUAAACAUAAGUUUUAAGUUUGAAAGAUGCAAUUGCAUCACUCAAAGAUGAUCCCGCGUUGUAUUAGCUAGUUGGUGAGGUAAAGGCUCACCAAGGCGAUGAUACAUAGCCGACCUGAGAGGGUGGUCGGCCACAUUGGGACUGAGACACGGCCCAAACUCCUACGGGAGGCAGCAGUAGGGAAUCUUCGGCAAUGGACGAAAGUCUGACCGAGCAACGCCGCGUGAGUGAAGAAGGUUUUCGGAUCGUAAAACUCUGUUGGUAGAGAAGAACGUUGGUGAGAGUGGAAAGCUCAUCAAGUGACGGUAACUACCCAGAAAGGGACGGCUAACUACGUG